UAGGGAAUCUUCGGCAAUGGACGGAAAGUCUGACCGAGCAACGCCGCGUGAGUGAAGAAGGUUUUCGAAUCGUAAAACUCUGUUGGUAGAGAAGAACGUUGGUGAGAGUGGAAAGCUCAUCAAGUGACGGUAACUACCCAGAAAGGGACGGCUAACUACUUGCCAG
RNAcentral lists this ribosomal RNA (166 nucleotides) under uncultured bacterium. Its description in RNAcentral is "partial 16S rRNA". It matches the Rfam family "Bacterial small subunit ribosomal RNA", at positions 355 to 511 of the family's 1533-position model. The record is from RNAcentral.